Molecule: long non-coding RNA, 1052 nt
Filed under: Felis catus (domestic cat)
Lineage: Eukaryota; Metazoa; Chordata; Mammalia; Carnivora; Felidae
Description: lncRNA (ENSFCAG00000050076.1)
Source: RNAcentral
AUAUUCCAAUAUAUAUAUAUAAUAUAUAUAUAUAUAUAUAUAUAUAAUGGAAUAUUACUCGGCAAUCAAAAAUAAUGAAAUCUUGCUAUUUGCAACUACAUGGAUGAAACUGAAGGGUAUGAUGCUAAGUAAAAUUAGUCAGAGAAAGACAAAAAUCAUAUGACUUCUCUCAUAUGAGGACUUUAAGAGACAAAACAGAUGAACAUAAGGGAAGGGAAAUAAAAAUAAUAUAAAAACAGGGAGGGGACAAAAUAAAAGAGACUCAUAAAUAUGGAGAACAAACUGAGGGUUGCUGGAGGGGUUGUGGGAGGGGGGAUGGGCUAAAUGGGUAAGGGGCAUUAAGGAAUCUACUCCUGAAAUCAUUGCUUCACUAUAUGCUAACUAAUUUGGAUGUAAAUUUUAAACAAUAAAAAAUAAAGUUAAGUCAUUUAAAAAAAAGGUAUAAAAAAAUAAAGGGAAAUUAUGGAUAACCACCAAGGAUAAAAAUUAACCCGUAGAACGCGUAGGAUAAGGCAAGGGCAGUGAACCUGAAUCUCUGGAAAGUUCCUAGUGACUGAGAAUCAUGUAAAUUUGCAUAACUGGCUUUGUGAAAGUGGUGAGACCUUAUUGGUAGGUCACAAAUGUUACUUAAUUGCCUGAUUUGAAGAUUAAAUGGUGUAAGAAAAAAGACUGUGGCUGCUACCCUUUGCUGGAAAAGAUUAGAAGAUGGGCUUUCCCCAGAAUGCAGCUGACCUUGUAGCUGAGGAUGGGGCCACUCGAAACCUAAAUACACUGGAAGAAAAGCCAAAGACAGUUUUGUGGAGACUCCGUGAGUCCAAUAGGAGUGCAGAAAACAUUAAUUACAGGUAAUAAAAAGUGAUUAGGCAAGCUAUUCCCUAUUUGCUAUAGUCUGUAAUUUUGUGCUACCAAAUAAUGACGUGUCAAGACAAAAAUUGUAUUCUCUUCUGGUUAUGUUUCUUCCUCCAUGAAAAACAAUGCUUUCUGCCAUCCUCAGGGGAGUGUGUUUUGUGGAUUUUGGUUUGAUUUGGUUCAAUUUGAUUUGUGAAUCUGUU